This 5517-nucleotide long non-coding RNA is filed under the name Salmo salar (Atlantic salmon). Its description in RNAcentral is "lncRNA (ENSSSAG00000100916.1)". Lineage: Eukaryota; Metazoa; Chordata; Actinopteri; Salmoniformes; Salmonidae. The record is from RNAcentral.
GCCAGAGUGCAGAAUAACUGAUUCAUUUAUGAACGCUCAACACCUGUUGAAUAUGGCUGGUGUCAGUAAACGUCAACAAAAAUUAAUUGAACUAAAUUGUUCCCAGGAGUACAGUUACAGUUACCAACACUCUGGAUAACAUGAACACAGCCUAACCAGCUCUGCUAGGACAAGUAAAAUGGUCAGAGUUUGGGUGGGGGCUAAAGCUUAAGAUGAUUCUUAUGGCAUUGGUCUGUGUGAAUCAGAGUGACUUGACAUAACGGGCCAAGUAAACUGUACAAACAAAACGGGACAUCUUAUUUAAUGAAAAGGGUUGCAGUCUGCCAUGAAGCGUUCAUCCAUGUAUAUGGAUGGUCUGCCUGUACAAGCACCACCUGGACUGGACACAGCUAGACAAACAUAUCAUUUUGAGAAGAUCAGGGAGUUUUGCGAUGACGAGGCAAUGGACAUCACAUGCCCUGCACCAAAGUCAAGGCCAGGACAGAAACAGGCUCUCCGAAUAUAGAUUCUUGUUCAUGUGUGGUUCGGACAGACUAGUUCAUCACUGGGGGCGAGUUCCCAGUCGUCACUACUAUCUGCAGUGGCUCUUUUCAAAUGAUUCUCUCCUAACACACGCCAUAUGUUGCUGGUGCAAUUUUUUUUUAUCCUGCUGCUCAGACACUUUACCCCUGAUUGUAUGCUUAUAACUACCUCAUCCAUCACUGAUAUUGUUAUUGAUAUUGUUCUUGUACAUACUGUAUAUUAUUUUCUUUAUACUGACACUAUUUGUUCAUGAUAUUGCUACUAUGCAAGUAACCAUUUCUCUGCACCAUUUACACCUGUAGAGACCCAUCGACUUAGCAAGAUGUGGCUGGGGGUUAUAGCAUUUCUUUCACAUGAGCCAUGAAUUUAGAGUAGUGUGUCUGGGUAAUCGUCAUCUAAUAUUUAUACAAUAUUUAUAUCUGGACACUUUCUGUUUACCUGGAAUUUUUCCUUAUUGUAGGCUACUACUUUUACAUUGUUAGUCUUAAUCUUUACUACACUACUCAAUGUUUAGCACAUGACCUCACAUGUGAAUCCUUAAAGAGAUGGAUGGGGCUGGCUUAUGAGGGUGUGAACAAUGCUGAAUCGGUGUAGACAAAGGAGAGCUCUCCAGUAGGUACCAAAAAUAUUCAAAGUCCAUUUUCUCAAAAGUGAGGUUAGAAGUUUAUCAACUUUCAAAGCAGAAUUACUUUCCCAUUGUUCCUAAAAUGCGAUGCAUGAUAUACCAUUGUGUAGCUCUGUAUCUCUGCUUUAUCCAAUGUAAAAAUCACAAUUUCAAAUUUUGCUACAUGAGACCGAAUCAAGGCGGUUGGUCACAAAUGUGGAAAAAGUCAAGGAGUCUGAACACUUUCCGAAUGCACUGUAUAUGGACUGUUAAGUGACAAAAAUCUGGGGUUAAAUACAUGUAGAAAAAAAAACAUGUUACCUGAUCUUAUAUCUCUCAGAUAUAGGAUAGACACUUCAGAACAAACUUAGUUUAGAUUUUUUGGGUGGGACUAUCUGUUGUUCCUGCUAAUAGCAUUAAGGUCAAAUACAUAUUUUCAUUAAAAAAACUAACAUUUGAUAUAUUCUUUUCAUACUUCAAGAGGUCUUAAAAUUCAAAACUUAACAGUUUAGGAAGAACCAAUUAACCUGUUGGGGCUACAGGUUAGCAAUGAACCCCGAGACGGGAUUGCUAACAAGGCUGGAAAUUCAAAACAUCAAAAAUCUAAUAAUUUCAAUUUCUCAAACAAUCAACUAUUUUACACAAUUUAAAAGAUAAACAUCUCCUUAAUCUAACCACAUUGUUCGAUUUUCAAAGAGGCUUUACGGCAAAAGCAUAAAGUUAGAUUAUGUUAGGACAGUACAUAGCCACAAAAGUACAAACAUCCAGUUUCAAUUCAAGGUCAGGCGUCACCAAAAGCAGAAACCAGCUAAAAUUAUGCACCAACCUUUGACAAUUUCCAUCAGAUGACAGUCCUAGGACAUUAUGUUAUACAAUACAUGCAUUUUUUGUUCCAUCAAGUUCAUAUUUAUAUCCAAAAACAGCAUUUUACAGUAGCGUGAAAUUCAGAUUUUUUUCUUCUCUGAAAUGCUUCCGGUGAACAUAACAAAAUUACUAUUCGAAAACAUUGGUAAAUUAUAAUAUUGUCAUUCAAAGAAUAAUAUAUUAUCAUCUCGUAAUUGCUACCGAAUGGCCAGAUCUCAAAAUAACUUUACUGGGAAAUCACAUUUUGCAAUAAACGGGGUGCUAUGCUAAGAACAAUAGUCUGUCAUAUUCUGACAAACAAUAAUUUUGUCAUAAACAUUGUCUGGUAAGCCCCACCUCCGGGCCUAAUAAACAACAGGGCUAAAUCAAUAGCUAGACUCACUCACUCACUCACUCACACUUUGUCUCUCUUUCACAAACAAACACACAAGCGCACAUGCACAAACACAUGUUCUCUCUCUCUCUCACACACACAUACUCACACACACUAAAAUAAUCCAUGUAAUGGAUUUCUGCCUGAGUUGAUUCAGGUCACAGGGUUACCUGGCACCUCUGGCAAACUGUAUUCUUUACAUUCUAAUAUUGUCAUAACCAUUUCCAUUUUCACUUGGCUAGCUGCUGGUGACAGGUCAGUCAGAGGACUCUGCUCAGCGACAGGAGGGUUUAGCUGUAGAUGAAGCAUGAUGAAGAAUGAGUUUUCACCUUAUUGACACGUACACCAGGGUUACUUCACCAAGCCUUUCCUUUUCCAGUCACUCUCAAUGGUCUGUGUUUCUAUACUAAGGUUUCCCAAACUGUGAAUAUGUGGUAUAGUUUUAUGAUGGUAUGACUGGCAAUUAUGAUAUAGGGCUUAAUGUGUGAGUUUUUCCUCUGUUGACACAUAAAUCAAUGUUACUUUACCAACCCUUCCUUUUCCUGUCACUCAGUCUCCUUUCUGUCUCUAUACCAGCCUUUCCCAAAGCUGUGGGUGACGUUAGUCCAGGUGGGUGGUGGGAUGACUGACAUUUUUGACACACAUCAAAUAUUCCCUUUCCAGUCACUCACAUUGCUCUCUCUCUCUCUCUCUCUCUUUAAAUCAGUGCCCUCCAAACUGUGGGUGAUGGUGGUUCAGUUGGGUCGUAGAAUAAGUUAGGAAUAUUACCAUCCAGGCCUAAAAAUUUAGACCGUGAAGUUCAUAGAUUGACAUAAAAAGAUUGAUAUUCUCACUUUGCAUAUUUUCCUACUCUUACAUCUAGACGUUCCGCUAGCGGAACACCUGCUCCAAUAGCCAAUGAUAGGCGUGGCGCGAAUUACAAAUUCCUCAAAAAUACAAAAACUUCAAUUUUUCAAACAUAUGACUAUUUCACAGCAUUUUAAAGACAAGACUCUCCUUUAUCUAACCACACUGUCCAAUUUCAAAAAGGCUUUACAGCGAAAGCAAAACAUUAGAUUAUGUCAGCAGAGUACCAAGCCAGAAAUAAUCAGACACCCAUUUUUCAAGCUAGCAUAUAAUGUCACAAAAACCCAGAAGACAGCUAAAUGCAGCACUAACCUUUGAUGAUCUUCAUCAGAUGACACACCUAGGACAUUAUGUUAUACAAUACAUGCAUAUUUUGUUCAAUCAAGUUCAUAUUUAUAUCAAAAAACAGCUUUUUACAUUAGCAUGUGACGUUCAGAACUAGCAUACCCCCCGCAAACUUCCGGGGAAUUUGCUAACAAUUUACUAAAUUACUCACGAUAAACGUUCACAAAAAGCAUAACAAUUAUUUUAAGAAUUAUAGAUACAGAACUCCUCUAUGCACUCGAUAUGUCCGAUUUUAAAAUAGCUUUUUGGUGAAAGCACAUUUUGCAAUAUUUUAAGUACAUAGCCCAGCCAUCACGGGCUAGCUAUUUAGACACCCGGCAAGUUUAGCCUUCACCAAUAUCAGAUUUACUAUUAUAAAAGUUUGAUUACCCUUUGUUGUCUUCGUCAGAAUGCACUCCCAGGACUGCUACUUCAAUAACAAAUGUUGGUUUGGUCCAAAAUAAUCCAUCGUUAUAUCCAAAUAGCGGCGUUUUGUUCGUGCGUCCCAGACACUAUCCGAAAUGGUAAAUCAGGGUCAUGCGCAUGGCGCAAUUCGUGACAAAAAAUGUCUAAAUAUUCCAUUACCGUACUUCGAAGUAUGUCAACCGCUGUUUAAAAUCAAUUUUUACGCAAUUUAUCUCGUAAAAAAGCGAUAAUAUUCCGACCGGGAAUCUCCUUUUCGGCAAACAGAGGAAAAAUCACAAAGACGGGGGGGGCCAGGGCACGCGCCUAAUGCCCACAGUCCCUUGAUCGGCCACUUGAGAAAGGCGAUAAUGUGUUUCAGCCUGGGGCUGGGAUGACGACAUUCUGUUUUUUCCCGGGCUCUGAGCGCCCGUGGAAGACGUAGGAAGUGUCACGUUAGAGCAGAGAUCCUUUGUAAAAGAUAGAGAUGGAAAAGAAGUUCAAGAAAUGGUCAGACAGGCCACUUCCUGUAAAGGAAUCUCUCAGGUUUUGACCUGCCAUUUGAGUUCUGUUAUACUCACAGACACCAUUCAAACAGUUUUAGAAACUUGAGUGUUUUCUAUCCAAAGCCAAUAAUUUUAUGCAUAUUCUAGUUACUGGGCAGGAGUAGUAACCAGAUUAAAUCGGGUACAUUUUUUAUCCAGCCGUGAAAAUACUGCCCCCUAGCCAUAACAGGUUAACUGAUCUAACAUCAAUACCUUUAUUUCCCUCUCCAUUCUUCUUUUCAUUAUCUCCCAUUUAUCUAUCUAAAUCUCUUUCUCGCUCUCUCUCUCUCUUUCUUUCUCUCUCGCUCUUCCUCUCUCUCUGUUUGUGGCUCUUUCUCUCUCACCCUAUUUAUUUUAUUCUCUCUCAAUUUUUUAUUUUUAUGGAAUCACCUGUGCUCCUCAGACCAUAACUUAGAGCUCCAAAAUAAAUAGAAAUCAAAAUUCAAAUUGCGCUUGUGGCAUUAGCAGAAAAAUACAUUAGUCUGAAGGUCAUAAGAGAACAGAUGAAGGCAUCCUAUUGUUCGCAAAUUGUUAGUGAAUAUUUGUUUUUUAUCCCAUAAUGUUAAAAGUAAAAACAAUAUUUAAUGGGUGUAAAAGCAUGAUAAAUCAAAGUUGGCAUCGGUUUCCAAGGUCAAGAUGACCUGGAAUAAUAAAUUCCUAGUUUGUGUUCCAAAUGGAACUCUAGUCCCUAUAUAGUGCAUUAUUUUUGACCAGGGCCCUAUGGAUAUGCUGCCGGUUGGGAUGCAGCCCUAGACUGGAGAUUAAUUCAAUGUUUGGUUUUUCAUUGUGUUCCAUAAUCUUUCCUUUCGCUUUAUUAGUACUGGCAGCUCCACUAUGUUACUUAAAUGAUGCAAUGACACUGCGGACCGAAGGCUACAGUUCAAAACUUUUAUGAAAAGUAUCCUUACAUAUCCGCUCUAUCAUAAGAGAAUGCAGAAACAAUUCUCAAUAAAACUCUUUUUGUUGACUAUUUGUAUUUUAUAGAUUUUCUACAGCACCCCACAAACACAAAAACAAAAUGCAACACAUUCCCCAAA